CUUGGGUUGGUGGCGCAGCGCGUGGGCGAGGGGCCGGCCGGCCCUGGACAGAGCAGCUACACUAUAUUUAGCCCUGGGAGCUGGGCAAGCCGGCGAGGGAGGGGCAAGGGCCAGCUCCUGCCCAGGCUGGAGAGCCUGGAGCACAGGGUGACAAGGGUGAAGUGGUCGGGACGAGAUUCAGAGGAUGCUCCGGACCUGGAGGGGCGGUGACUGCUGGAGGCACGAGUAGGGGCCGGGACCAGACCGGCAGGUACCUGGGAUGGAACUUGGGUCUAUUGCACUUGCAAGAGAGGUGGCCGAACCGCUGAGCUAAAUUCCCAGCUCCAGGUUCAGAGUUCUAAUGAGACACUCAAAGGUAAUGUGAAUUGAGCUUUGAGUGAAUUUGGCAGUGGUUUCAAAGUGUAUUCUUUUUCAUUAAGUGGCUCUAUCAACUAUUGAUUGAGGUCUCUGACCUUUUCUUUUUGUGGGUUGUUUUGUUUUGAGACGGGGUCUUGCUGUAUAUAGUUCAGGCUGAUUAUUUUUAUGACUGAAUAAAAGCCAUGUUGGGGAUUAGAAAAAUCAACACAUGUGAUAGAGUAUCAUAUUAAUUUUUUUGUUUUGUUUUGUUUUAGUGAGAGGGGGUUUUGCUAUGUAGUUGAGAUUAGGCUGGCCUUGAACUCACUAUGUAGCCCAGGCUGCUCUCACACUCAGCGAUCCUCCUGCCUCAGCCUCCAGAGUGCCUAGAUUUCAGGCAUGUGCCAUCACACCCAGCAGACCUUUUCUGUUUGGAGACAGUCUUGUAUAUAGCCCAGGGUGGCCUCAAAUUCAGUCCUCCUGCCCCAGCCUCCACAAUGCUAGGAUGAGGUCAGGCUCUUUAUUUUUUUAAUUGUAUUUAUUUAUUUUGGUACCAGGGAUAGAACUCCCGUCCUCUUACUUGUGAGGCAGGCGUGCUGGAACUACUGAGCUUUUAUCUCUGGCCCAGGCUCUUUAUUUUUUGAUGUCAGACUUCCCACUCUGCCCAUUCUAGUUCCUGAGACUACAAUGUAUUCUUUAAAAAAAACAAAACAAAACAAACCAAACGGUUUCUGCAUUCAGUUUUAUUUGCUGUGCAGAGAUCAAACCCAGG
RNAcentral lists this long non-coding RNA (1105 nucleotides) under Fukomys damarensis (Damara mole-rat). Its description in RNAcentral is "lncRNA (ENSFDAG00000027540.1)". Lineage: Eukaryota; Metazoa; Chordata; Mammalia; Rodentia; Bathyergidae. The record is from RNAcentral.